GUGAGAAUCGUUUUAUUUUAUAGAAAAUGUUAUAUGACCCAAGAAUCGUAUAAUAUAAGUAAUCAACGACAGAUGGCGCGUCGGUAGAAGAAUUAGUUUCGAUCGUAAUAAGUCACGCUCGGUGGUCUUAUUCGUGGACUUGUUUCAUUUUAUAUUUCGUCGUUGAUCAUAAUUUCCUGAAGAUUUUCAACUAGCGUUGAUGAAAUAGACAAAUAGUGUAUACGUCUUGGUAUUACUAACUCCUUCGUGCAAUACGUGACGACGAAUACAGAAGAAUCAUCUGCAUGGCGAUCAAGAGCAACAUAUUUUCUCGAUUUAACGACGUUUGCAAGCAACGGCUCUCGUAGAUAUAGAACAAACCGACUGUUAGGCAAUACUCCAGGGAUUUGGAAAAGGGAUGGAAAAUGGUACGUCAGGCAGAAUUCCCAGUCGCGCGACCAAAAGUUUGAACGAUCGUGCAACAGUUGACGCACCCUCCUCGUCCAUUCUGGAAAUCCGCCCCUAUCGAUGUUGGAGGACGAGCUACGUUGGAGAACGCGCGUGCUAGAAAGAGAGGGAGAGAGAGAGAGAGAGAGGGAGAAACAGAUCGAUGGUUCGAUGAAUCUUCGAUGAUCACACGAGAGAAAUAGAGUUAGAUAUAGAGAUAGAGAUAAUCGAAGGUGAACAAGGAACGAGAAUGAGAUAUAAAUAAAACAAAAGAAACCGGAAAUAAUCGAAGCAUCGUCAAAAUGAUCCAAACGAUAAAACAGAGAUGAAGACGUAAUACUAUGUCGGAUGGAAGGUAUCGUCUCCUCGUUCCAGUUGCUCCAGCAGUGUGGUAGAAGAAGUCGAACGAAAGGCGGCCAGAUUUCAUCGACGUAAUCGUCGUCGCUCUUUCAAAGGCGAGCCGUGAUUAAAACUAACCCCUUUGCUAGAAAAGCUCCAACGAUCGAUGCGUCUUCCUAACACCAGGAAAAUAAUAACGUGGAAAAUAAAAGAUAAAAAAAAGAGAUAGAAAAUAUGAGUGAUUUAAAAGGUAUAGAGAGAGAAAGAGAAAGAGGCAAUGGGGUGAGGGUGCAACAAUCUGCAGAUACCUCGACUCUACCUGAUUACGUCGCUAGUUCUCUAAUUACGGAGAAACCUACAACGAUACUCUACUCGACCCCGUUCGGCAACGUUCGUGCAACCUUCCGAACACGAGUCUUAUUCCGGAAGACGUACAGAAAACGGAAGAGUUUUAAAGGAUGAGAAGUAACAAAGUACGAGGAAUUUUUGGCUUCUCAAAUAUUCUACGACCUCCUUAGAAAACGAGUCCGUUCACGAACACCCGGUAUAGGAGAACGCGUAUCGCGCGGUACGCAUUAAAGAGGAACAUGCCUUAAAGAGGAUAAGACCGAACGAUUAUUUCGAGUAGCGAAGAAUAGCGUCUCGUAGAGAACACAAAGGGAAAAAGAUGAAAAGAAAAAAGAAGAAGAAAAAGGAAAAGAAGAAAAAUAAGAAGAAGAAGAAGAAGCGAGACUCGCCUUUGGAAUGGAUCAACCAAACGCAUUUCUAUUCCACCCACGCGACGCCAAGACGCGGACGUCUGUUUUCGCUCGGUGUGGCUUCCGGAGCUGAACGUCUUUCCGCCUGCGAACUGCCCAAUCAAGAGAAGCGGAACGUUCUCCCUUGAUACGACUGGAUAGCCCUGACCGUUUUCGUGUUUCUCGUUAAGGAAGAUUUUUUUCAAGGUCACGUUUUCCCGCCCAUAAUUCUUUCUCCUUCGAGAGACGCACGUUCUCCAUCUUUCUCUUUCUCUUUUUCUUAUUCUCAUUUUUUCUCGUUUUCUUUUUCUUUUCUCUUUUUUUCCCAUAAAUCUCGAACUCAGUUUUUUUUUCUUCUUUUUAUUCUUUUUUUUUUUUUUCUUUUCAGAGAUCGUAAUAACUUCAAAAGUUUUCAAGUUGCGAUUUGUCUGCUUUUUUCAGAUCGACAGGUAGUUAUAACGUGAAAAACGUACAGAAGCCCACCAGUGUGUAUAUGCGCCGCCGGCAGUUAGCUAUCGUCACAUAAAUUUUCAGUUUUUCCUUUCGAGAGGAAAUAGGAACGAUCCGGUGGGUCCAUCGUUGUAAGUUCCUGUGGGACGUUCCAAGGGAUCGAACGAUUCCGAACGUUGGCGAUUCCGUAUUCCUCGAAGGUUCGGGUUUCGUUCGGUGAGAUAAGGGAUGGUAUGAGGAAUGGUAAGGGACGUGUGUAAUUCGAUCAGACCCUUCGCUUGAACGGCACUUUCCAUUGGUAAGGCGACCAGCUCUUUGGUAUCUUCGUCCCUCUCUCUCUCUCUCUCUCUCUCUCUCCCUCUCUUUCUCUCUUUUUCUCUUAUAUUACUUUUCUCUUUUCUUUCUUCACUCUUCUUUUCUCAUCUUCUUCUUUCCUCUUCACAUCAAUUUUCCUUUUCUGUACGUUCGUCCUUUGCGUUAUCCGUUGCAAACGAUUCAAAGACAUCGUCGACACGCUUCGUCUCAUUGAAACAUUCAGAUAAAGAGAGAAGGGCGAUUCGUUAAGCGAGAGAUGAAUCAUAAGCCCGCAUUUUCCUCGCUAACGAAUAAUGUAAUUUCGAUUGUUCCUUGUCGACGAUAGUAUGAUCGUUCGAAAUUAAUCGUCGUUGUUAAUUACGUCGGAUUUGGUUUUGAACUCUUUCCUCGUGAAAAUUUUAACCAACAUAUUUCAAUCGUUCUUAUCUAUGGUAAAGAAAUCUCGAUGUCUAAGAAAAAUUAAACUAUACAAUUUUAUUUACUGACGCGCAAAAAUAUCUAAAAGAAGAAAAACGAAAAGAAAAAAGUAAAAAAACCAAUUAAAAAAAAGAAAUACUCGACUUUGCGAUAUGGAACAAUCGUAGUCUUUAAACGUUUCUCCGUUAAAAUCGUUGAUAAAAAUCUUAUUAUUGAUAUUAAUCUUACUCUUCUCUUGCAUACGAUUCGAGCAACGCUUUUCGAGUAUUUCUGAGUGAUACGCCAUUUGUCGGACGGUCUCGAUCACAACACGAUUCUCGUUUUCAGUCGUUUGCGGGAUGAGGUGAAGAGGACGAGGACGAGCACGAGGAGAAGGUGGAGGAGGAGGAGGAGGAGGAGGAGAAAUUGUGGGAGGUUGGAACAAAAUAAAGUGCGCUCGGGCUUUUUCAUGUUGUCCUCUUUCUGGUUGUCCAGAGUACGUGUCCAUGUAGAAGAACGAGCACACGUACAUCGUUCAUUUUCAGGCACGGAAAAGCGGCAGCUCGUGCGUUCCCGUUGACUACCAGGGACGGAAGGGGAAAAAUAGGAAAAAAGUGUCGACGAACGAGGGGCCACCGAAUUACGAAUGCAUAGAUCGUUGAAUAAAUAAUGAAAGGACAACGGAUACGUGAGUGUAUGCAUAGAUAUACGAGUACGCGCGCGUGAGUAGUUAACGUGUGCGUGAGUGCGUGCGUGUAUCUAUGCAUCUAUGCGUCUAUAUGUGCGUGUGCGCGAGUUUCGAUAGAUACGUUCGAAGCAAUUGCUCCAACGAUCUCCGACAUUUUUCUCAUUUUCUAUUUUGGAAUAUACUUUAGAAUGAUCGUAAAUUUUUAAUACACAAUGAUCGCUACGUAUUAAUCGCUUCUAAUUAGAUAGAAAUUAUUAUAGACGUUAAUACAGAUCUAUAACGUCUAUAAUCUGCAACAAUAUAAAAUAUUAUAAAUCUAUCUACCUAAGUUCGCGAUAAUUAAAGAAUAGAAAUAUAAUGAAUCGAUGAAAAUGAAUAAAGAUGGACGCCGAAUGAAGGAUCUAGCACCGAUGUCACGAGUUUCGCAUGCUAUUAUCGCGUGGCACGUCAAUAGCGAGUUCCCGACAAAGAGGAUGACGUUCGGGGUGGAAAAGGGAGGAAGAGGAGGAGGAGGAGGAGGAGGAGAAGGAGGUGGAGGAAGAUAGGAUGGAAGAGCAGGGGAGAAGGAGAGGAAAGAAGGAGAAGAGAAAGACGGACGACGUAAACCGAAUGACGAGAAGAUAGUCGCAGCGGGUGGUAGUUAUGUCGUCGCUGGCUGCGUAUGACAGCGACAGAACCGAAGGCCAACCUCCUCCAUCUCCACAACCUUUUCCUCCUUCUCCACCUCCACCUCCACCUCCUCCACCACCUCCUCCAUCACCACCUCCUCUUUUGCCCGGACUCAACUCGACUCGACUCGACUCGACUCGACUCGAGUCGACUCGAUUCUCCUCCCUCGAACGUCCGCUUCUAGCGACGCUUCGAAUCCCUUCCAACCCCUGCGUUCGGUCAAACUUCCCAGACUACCGAGGCGCACUCGACAAUUACGAUCAAUUUCCUGGUCGUCGCCCCCUCUCUCUCUCUCUCUCUCUCUCUCUCUCUCUCUGUUUCUCUCUCUCUCUUUCGCUCUUCUCUUUCGACGGAGCAAUUAAAAAAAAAAAAAAGAAAGAAAAGGAAAAAGAAAAGAAGACAAUUUUAUUUUCUACGACAUUCACGAGACGUCUUAUCGGAUGAAACGAAGGGAAACAGAAAAAUAAGAAAAAAGAAAGGAAAGAGAUAGAGAAAAGAAGAAGGUAAUUAAAGUAGGAACGAUUUUCCAAAAUUUGUUAUAUACUUGUAUCGUUACUUUUUCUCAUUCGCUCGCUCCUUCAUUUUCUCUUUCUUUUUAUCUCUAUAUAAGUAAGAUAUAUCUUCGAAUUUCGCGGUUAAAAAUUGAAACGACCGACAGGCUUCCAUGCCAUUUCGACGUCAUCCUUUUUGAAAGCUUUCAAUUAACUUAAAACGAAUAUAUUACAGGGCGUGGCAAAACUCUCUCUCUCUCUCUCUCUCUCUCUCUCUUCUUUUCUUUUUCCAUUUUUUCCCCUCUUUCCUUCCUUCCGUCUCAUCCUUCUUCCUCAUUUUCCAACUGCUCUCCCGUCUUUCCAACGGAAACCAACUUGCUGUAUUUCCUUCGCGACAGGCUGCUCCUUUCGCUGCUUCUGCUACCGAGAGUUCUUCUCUUGGUUCUUUUUUCUUUUUUUUUCUUUUUUCUUUUUUUUCUUUCUCCUUUUCUUUUUCUGUUCUUUUCUUUUCCUUUCCUUUCCUUUCCUUUCCUUUCCUUACCUUUUCCUUCAUCGAGCUCCCUACCUUCGCUUUUACCUCCCUUCGUCUCUCUUCGAAAAAGACACCUCGAGAACGUUGAGAAGUAACGAGAGGAAGAGAGAAAGAAAGAAAAGGAAAGAGAGAGAGAGAGAGAGAGAGAGAGAAAGAGAGAGGGUAAGCUCACGGAUAUUAUCGAUCUGCUUCGGAGCGAUGAUGUUCGAAGGGUGGUAAAAAAGGAUCGUCGAAAAGAGUCCGACGUCUCGCUUGAUAUUCCAGCCCAUUAGUGAUAAUCACUUAUGUUAUUUCUGUAUUUUUCUUUCUUCCUCUUUCUCUCUUUUCUUUCUCUUUCCAUUCGUCUCAUCGAAGAAGCCAAUGUUUAAUAACAAUGAUAAGAAGAAGAAAGAGAAGAUAAGAAAAAAGAAGAAAAAAAAACGUAAAAAGGAUAAGAAGUCAGGAAAGAAAGUAGAGAUCGAUAUUUAAUUAGAUUUUCUUCGAAAAUUAAUUUAAUAAGAGAUAGAUUCAAAAAUAUAACAGAUAGAAGUAUUUAGAGAUGUUAAGAUAAAUUGCGAACGAUUAAAUAGAUACUCGUUGGAUUCGCAUGAAAUAGUUGAAUUCGAUCAAGGUCGCUUCAACCACUCGGACGUUUCAAUUUUUCUCUCUCUCUCUCUCUUUCCCUCUUGCCACGACACUAUCCGCUUUUACGGAUUUAUCGAGGGGAAUCGUGCGAGAGGGUUGCACGCGCCAGUACACACGCAUACAUACGCAUACGCCCACACACACACACAUAAAUACUUAUACCGCCAACGUAGACGCAUAGACGCAUACAGUUACAUUUACAGGCAGUGAGGGUGACAGCGAGACGACGCGAACGAAAAUUACAAGUCGGUCCGGAAAUGACGAGGCACCGGAAGUGCUCGUGGCGCUUCGCUUCCGUCGCUCUGCCGAUCGAAUGCUUGCCUCCAGCGAAAAUCCACGGGUCUAUCGAGCCAGCUCGUUCGACAAGAUAAAAUCGAGAUGGAUAAAGGGUUAACGCGUUGAGUGUUACGCGUGGGGAAGGGGCGGGGGAAAUCAUUCGACUUUCCAAACUUCAUUUUCAACGUUUUCGAAAAUAUCCUGAAAAUCAAGGACAAAUAACGUGAGUCCUUUUCAAAAUCGUCUUUUUUUACCAAAGAAGAUAGUAAACAUUUAAUAAAUGAUAGUAACAGUAAUAAUAGGUAAAUCGGAAAACAAGAAUUUAAAAAAAAAAGAAAAAGAAAACACCUGGAUGCACCUGAACCUGCAUCCACGUAAACUGGAAAAAAAUCAGGAAGAAAUUUAUAAUAAAAACAUUGCGUAACAUAGCGAGAACACUUUUAAAUAUAUAAAGAGAUAGAUUACAUUAAAUCAGAGGCCCGUGUAAGUUGAGUCUGAUGACUCAAUAAAUGGGACCAAAAGAAAUAAAAUAAAAUGAUAAUAAUAAUAUAUAUAAUACAUAAAUAUAUACAUUCUUUUUUUUUCUAUAUGUGCACAUUUAAAAAUAAAUAUGAAAGAAAGUAUAACAAGGAAAGAAAGAAAGAAAGAAAGAGAGACAGAGAAAGAGUAAAAAAUUUGAGUAGACGAUUAUGAACAGACCUUUAGGAUUUCCCCGUCCGUGACGUCGUUGACUCGCGUGGGUGAUAGCGGACGCGAGCUGCGCGGCAGCUCGUUUCGGAGGGUUGGGUUUUCAGCUUCACGAGCAAGGUUCGUGCUUCCUUCCACCUCCGGCUUCGAGCUCAGCCGCAGAAGCCUCGUGCUUCAUCCACGAGAGGGUGGAAUAGAGGGGUUGGAGUGGGUGACGCUGGAGGAAGUGGAUGAGAGUCAAGAAGGAGGUGGAGCUACGGAGUCGGAGUCGAAGUUGGUGGAAGGUGAGGUGGAGGUGAAGGUGACUCGUGCUCGACGUCGACGACGUGCCCGACUUGGAGGAGAUGGAACUGGCCUGUUAUAUCGAGCGAGUACGAAAGAGAAAGAGAGAGAGAGAAAAAAAGAGAUAGAUUUUCAGCAAGACUGAAAAGACACAGUCAGUAGAAAUAUAUAUAUAUAUAUAUAUAUAUAUAUAUAUAUAUAUAUAUAUAUAUAGUACUAGUCGAUUCAAAGCGAUCGUUGCUUAUUAACGAACGAUAGUUAAGCUGUCGUAUACCUUUCGAUAAUUACUCUCGCUCUCUCUCUGUCUCUCUCUUUCUCUCUCCUUCUCUCUCUUUCUCUCUGUUUCUACCUAUCUCUCUUUAUCUCUCUUUUUCAUUUGCUCUCGCUUCGAUGUCAUACGUGUAACGUGUAUAAGAGCAUAUUAAUAUUUUAUAAAUGGAUCCUCGCACGAGAUGGACCAGGGAAAAUCGAUCCAAUCUAUCGAACACGAUUAAAUCCCGAUGUGGAGGUACUCUUUAAUGGAUUUUUGUCUCUACGAGUGCGGAAAAUAUUUAAUGACAACUGUCAAAAUUCUUGUUAAUAUACUUGUUCCUUCGUUACGUUGCAUUUGUAGGCCAGGAAAAAAGGAAAAAUAAAAGGGAAAAUAACAGAGAAAAAAGAAAAGAAGAGAAAGGAAGAAAAAAGUACUUUGUCAAAUAGGACAGAAUAUAUUUUUAGAUUAUAUUUUUUUUUUCGUUUCUUCGUUCCUCUCGAAUUUUCAUCAUUGGAAUUCGUUGUUAGACGAUGUUCCAACGUCGAACGACGAAAAGCAGAUCGAAACGAGAUCAUCCUCUCAUUCGCACCAUUCACGACUCUCUACCACGUCCGUUUCUCUCUCUUUCCUUUCUUCCGUUGGCCGGUGGUCCACUUGGGUGGCUCGAAGAGCAUAUUUACCGCACGCGGCGACGCCGAUGUACAACCGUUCUACAAGGCGUUUCAAAAUUAAUUAAUAUCGUAACGCCGAUUAAUAUCCACGACGAAUCGGUUUGGGAUGUCGCAGGAAAAAAAGAUGUCGUGUGGUAAAAAGUAACAACGCUGUUACGUACGAACGGAAUAAAUAAAAAAAUAAAUAAAUAAAUAAAUAAAUAUAUAAAUUCUCUUUUUUCUCUUUUUUUUUUUUUGGUUUUGUUUUGAAUACGAUCCGGACAGCCUCAAAUAUUCAAGAGAUAUUUCAAAUUCUCGAACUAGAUAUACUUGACACGUUUAAUGAAUAUAUUUAAAAAUAGUGUGACGUCUUUUUCGUAAAAAAAAAGAAAAAAAAUAUACAUGAUACCUACAUCUGUAUAUUAUAUACACAUAUAUAUAUAUAUAUACUUUUUUCUAAAAAAAUUCAUAAUAUUCUACAUUUCCGUUAAGCAGAUUUUCAACAGACUGUACAAUUAGCCAGUAGCUAGCCACGAUGCGUAGAUAGAAGUGGGAGAAGGAUAGAGAGUUUCCUAUUACCGGGAAUCCGAUUCUAAUUCUAGAGCCACGACCGCAUGAGAAGUUGCACGCGUUACAGAGGCAUAAGGGAAACGCUAGCGAAUUUCAUUUCCAUGGGAAGUAAGUAAGAGGCAACAUAAUAUACCUACCUGCAUAGAGGACUUUGCCAAGGAUCGAAAGGAAAGGUAAGAUGAGCUUUUCUAUCGCUCUUUUAGGUGCUCUGAAAUCUGGCUUUGGAGGUUAGCGUAGUGUGUAGUAGCGGUAGAGUUCAAAUUCGAAGAUAGACCGGACUUUUCCUCCUCUGCUUCACUCUCUUUAUCGAAAUAUUCCCCUUUUCCUUUAACCUUCUCUCCCUCUCUCUCGCUCUCUCGUUUCUUAGAUGCAAAAGAUUCUUCGUUUCCUUCUCUCUCUCUCUCUCCCUCUCUUUUGCUCGCUUACUCCUUUCUUAGAUAAAAGCAAAGGAGAAUGAGUCCUCCUUUUCCAUCUCUCUUGCUUCUACUAUUACCACCCACUCUCUUUAUCUUCAUGUUCUCUCUCUCUCUCUCUCUCUCUCUCUCUCUCGCUCUCUCUCUCUCUCUCUCCCUCUCUAUCUAUCCAUCUAUCUAUCUAUCUAUCUAUCUAUCUAUCUAUCUAUCUAUCUAUCUAUCUAUCUAUCUAUCUAUCUUUUGUAUACACAAAUGCAGACACGUACACAAACCCGCACACAACCAAAUACUUCAUCCUUCUCUUUUUCUCUCGACUCUACUUCCCUUUACCUCCAUUUCCUCCUUUUUCUCUUGGAAGCUUCUUCUCCGCAUAGAACCGUUCUUUUUCUCUUCCUCUCUCUCUCUCUCUCUUUCUCUCUCUCUCUCUCUCUUUCUUUCUCCCUCUAUAUUACUAACCACAGGAGGAGCAGACGAAAGAGGCAAAGAAAGAGAAAAGAAGGUUGCGAGGCAGAAGCAGAGGCAGUAGCAGAGCGCCUCUUCUCGCUCUCCUACGUUCUUCUUUAUCCGGCUGGGUGGACCCAGAAUAAAAGACGAAAGCCGCUCGACUCUUUUGAGAGGUCGUGGGAGAUGUUGCGUCUGGCUCCGCAUACUCUGCUCUGUUCUGUUCUGUUCUAUUCUGUUCUGUUCUGUUCUGUUCUGUUCUGAUCUGUUCUGUUCUGUUUUGCUCUCCUCUAGUCUGCUCAGCUUUGCUCAGCUCAGCUCAACUCAGCUCUGCUCUGCUCUGCUCUGCUCUGCUCUGCUCUGCUCUGCUCUGCUUUGCUCAGCUCUGCUCUGCUCUGCUCAGUUCUGCUUUGCUCUGCUCUACUUUUUACGUGCAUGCAUCCAACCACCAUCUAUCGGGUGACUUGCUCGUAAAGUGCCCAAGUUUUUCUAAAAGGUUUAAAGCCGAUCGUUUCUAUCUUACUUACGUUUCUCGAACGUAAAAUUAAAAGAAAAUGAAAGAGAUGUAAAAAGGAAGUUAGAAAUGGAUUUUAUAGAACUUGCACAGUUCGAUUGUGAAAAAAAAUUUAUUAUGUGAAAGAUACAAUGAAAAUCAUCGAGUUUAAAUCGUCCGGUAGGAAGAUUCAUUUAUAUCGCAAUAAUAAUUCUCUCGAAAAAGAAAGAUCAACAAUUUAUCUUACAAUAUUAUUUUCCACUUUUCUCUAUGAUAAAAAGAAAGAAAUUAUCGUCAUACAGAAAAACUCAAGACAAUAGAUUUGUAUUCCGAUAUUACAUCACUCGUUUUUCCUUUCCUUACAUGUUCCAUACGUAAAAUGUACUCAGAACAUAAAAAAAAAAAGAAAUCGUGACUAUCGUCACGAUCCAGCGUCCCUUCAAAAGGGUCAAAAUUCGAUGACGUUUCAGGAUCGUUCGUGUUCGAAGUAGGAAAAAAAAACGAAAUGCUUUUAGCCACAGACGAUUCUUUCUCAUUCUCUCUCUUUCUCUCUUUCUCUCUCUCUCUCUCUCUCUCUCUCUCUCUGUACGUCGAAAUCUUUUUUUUACCUUUCCCUGUUCUUUUCUUUUCUUCUCAGUUGCUCUCCCCAUCCUUUCUUUUUUCUUCUCCCCUCAGAAGUAUCCUCCUUCGCCAUCAUAUCCUCGAUCCUCUACCCGCACGGCAUUAGCUGCCGACGACGUUAUCUUCGGUGGCUAGCACGCGCGCGCGCGAUUAAUAAAACGAGGAUUCGCUUGUGCUAGCCGGCAACGGUAAAGGUUUUUAAUCUUUUUUUUUCCUUCUCUUUCUUUUCUCUUUUUUUUUUACCCGUAGCGAGCGGAACCCUGCUGCUCUUUUUCCUUCCCCCACCUCGCUAAUGGUUGCUGUAGACCUCAGGGCGAUAUUGUGAGGGGGUUUAGUAGGAUUACCUCGGUCCACCUCGACGACCCACCGGAGAUAUCAGCGUUUCGACCUUUUUCCUUUUUCCCACCCUCGACCAACCUCCCACUCACUCUAUCCUACCCGUUUCCAUCUCUCUCUCUCUCUCUCUCUCUCUCUCUCUCUUUCAUUCUUUUUCUUUCUCUGUCUCUUUCCCUCUUUUUAUUUCUCUUUCUUUCCUUUUCUUUCUUUCUCCCCUUUCUUGUCACUUUUCUCUCUCCUUUUUGUGUUUUUCUGAUUUUCGUAGUCGUACUUACGUUUGCACUUACGUAACCACAUACCUACCAUGUAUAUCAAGUAAGUACGUAAUUACAUAAGUGCCUUUCGAGCUAUCGAUCUUUUGAAUUUAUUUUUUCGAUUCAUGAAAUAAUUCGUUUAAUAAUAGACGACAGCUAUCAUGAUAUAUAUGUGAUUGCUCCUUUUAGAUAUUUAUCGAGUUAUUAUCUCAUACUGUUUAUCAUGUCGAAUGAUAAAACGUAUCACAAUGCGGAUCGGUUGCGAUUGACAUUGAUUUUUUAUUAACUUUGUUGAUUCUUUUUCUCCUUUCCUUUUUUUCCUUUUUUUUUCUCUCUUUCUUUCUUUUUUCCCUCUCUCUCUUUUUUUUUCAAACAUCCGAAAAUCGAAUCGCGAAUACAAAUUAUUGAUUGGUCCUCUAGCGCCGGGAGUAACUUUAUUUUUUAUACAAAUUUCAAGCCAAUCUAUCAAGCCGUUUUGAACGACAGAAUGGAUACGCCCGUAUACCGACGUAUUUAGAUUUUGAUACGUCUAUUUAUACAUAGUACGUACAAAUAUGAAAGGCUUAGAUGAAGAUCACGAUAAUUUGUAAAACGUUAUAAGAUCGUUCUUAAGGAUAAAAAAGACGCUUUUGAAAAAUAGCUCCACCUUUUUUUCGCGGACAUUUUCACGAAGGUGCCGACAGAAUCAGCAUCGGUAUCGAUGUCGUUUCAUUUUGUUUCGUUUCGUUUCGUUUCGUUUCGUUUCGUUUCGUUUCGUUUCGUUUCAUAGUCCGAUCUGCUAUCAUAUCUUUAUUAUAUAAUCGAAAUUGCAUUCUGGAACGUGACGAUAGGAAAGGCAACGAAACGAAACGAAACGAAACAAAACGUUUUAUCCCUGGCAGCGAUACUCCUCUCUCUCUCUCUCUCUCUCCCUCUUUCUCUCCCUCUCUCUCUCUCUCUCUUUCUCUCUGGCUUCCUAUUAUCGGCGACUUUUAAUUCCCUCUCUCCAGCAGGCCGUCGUCGCGAAAUACCGAUGCGAAUGCUCGCGUCGAUAUCUCGCUUUUAGCCUGGUAAUAGCGAUCCAUUUAAAAGGCACGCGCGCUUGCCAUACUAUUAACGUUAAAAGGGAGAUGAAGAUACGAAAGCGUUUCGCGGUGGUAACUCCCUCGCGUGACUGAAACGCUUUAUUAUAUUAUUCCCUAUCCAUCGUGGGAGCCACGUUCGUGGCCGCCACCGUACGGCCACCACCGUUUCUAUCACCACCCUCUCGCCCUCUCUCUCACACCCCCUUCUCCAUUUCUCUCUCCCACUCUCUCCCCCCCCUCUCUCUCUCUCUCUCUCUCUCUCUAUGUCUAUGUCUGUCUAUCUCUCUGUCUCGCCAUUUAGUUAAUUUUAAAUUAAUACCGUCAAAUUCGAUAUUUGGCCGCCGUUAAUGCAAUUCGAUUCUGUCCCAGUAUCUCUCUCUCUCUCUCUCUCUCUUUUCCUCUCUCCCUCUCUUUCGUGCCUAUUGCAAUUCUCGCGUUUGAUUAAGCUCUUUCUCUCUCUCUCUCUCUCUUCGUAAUUUAGUGUCCCCUUUACUAAUUAGAUCGACGCGUUCGACGUACGUUCGCAUCCUUUUUCGUCAGACAGAUUUCGUAUACUAGGAAAUCGCUUUCUCUCUCUCUCUCUCUCUCUCUCUCUCUCUCUCUCUCUUUCACGUCACCACCCACUCUCACACCCCACGCCAUUCACUUCACGAUCGUUACGAUCGUUUCUCGAGAAACGUCCUCGUUCUAUAUAUCGAUGAUUAUUAAAAUGUUAAUUAAACCCAUCGAGAAGUCGCGCCGAGGGUGGUGGAUAGUAAACCAAUUAAAAGUGACGUCGAAAGACCUUUCGUUCGAAGGAACGAGUAAAAAGCUUUUGUGUGCUUUUUGGUAGGUUACUUACCUUCUCCGUGAACGUCUCAUCGGUUUUAUUUAUUAAUGGAGAAACUAACAAAAAUGAUGACAAUAAUGAAAUUAGAAAAAGAAAAAUACAUAAAAAGGAAUUAGAAAACAACGGCGAGAGAAACGUAGCGAAACCAAAAAAUUAAAAAAUAAAAACAAAAAAAAAAGGCGACGUCAAAACUCGAUUCGAAUUUUCGAACUCGAACGACGUUUUCUCUCUAUCUAUCUAUCUAUCUAUCUAUCUCUUUUUUUAUUUCACAAUUAUUCGUGAUGUCGACCGAUAUCGACGAUGUUACUAAUCGAUGAAGUUCGUCGCAAAACGAUCGGAGAAUUUCAUGCGUGCGAUCUAGCUCGUAUUACGACUAAUCCAAAUCGAAUUCGCGCGUGUAAAAUGGGCGGUGGAAGGGACAAGGGGUCCGAAGGGAGGGAUAUAACGGUGGUGAUGGUGGUGGUGGUCGUGGUGGUGGUGGUGGUGGUGCUGGUGGUGGUAGUAGUAGUGGUGAUAGUGAUACCAACGGUGGUGAGUUGAAGGGAUAGAAGGUGGAGAGGGUUGAAUACGAGGGUGGCGGCACACGUCAAAGCGAUCGAGUUCUCGUUUCGCGCGUAACCUAUUGAAUCACCGAUUUCCUCGUGCAACCGACACCGAGUACCUACGAGAGUUCGAGAGUUACGUCAAAACUACAUUCACCGUAGUCUUCAAAAAUUUGCCUAGUAAAGGAAACGAGACGGAAUGAUUAGGUAGAUAGGUACGGAUAAUCGUCUGAUCCUUUUCGAAUACACGCGUAUAGCCUGUAAUAAAAAACCCUUUAGGAAAAAAUUCGGAAUCGUUUUAGAAUUUUUGCGGAGAAAAAAAAUUUUUUUUAUUUUCUUUUUUUAUCUUUUUAUUUUCCAUUUUUUUUUUUUAAAUCAAAUAAAUCAUUUAUUUCGCGUUGGUCGUCGAUACGGUCGUUCCUUUUUCUCCCCCGCCCCGCUUUUAAUUGUUCGCUCUUUCUUUUUCUCUCUCUCUCUCUCUCUCUCUCUUUUCCUUUCUGAUAAAGUUCAUCGAAGUGAAACGAACUCGUACGUACCGAUGUUGGAAUUACAUGAAUUAGAUAUUUGAUAGGACGAAAUGUAACGCGUAAAACGUACGAAGCAGGAUUGAAAUGAGAGAUAGAACGAUAGGACGUUUCUUCGUUUGAUAUUCGCGAAACGUCUCGUGGUUGAAGCUACGGAGCGUUCCUCUUUAAGGAGAAUUGAGAGAAAGACCCGUGAGAGAGAAAGAGAAAGAGGAAGGGAGAGAGAAAGAGAGAGAGAGGAAGAGAGGAAGCGGGAACGACGUUAACGAAGCGAAUAGUCUCGGAGGGACUCCCGCACGACGAUUACCGUAUCGAGAUGGCCCCGUCGACCCUCUCAAAAUUGCGACUACUUUAACAAAGGUUGCUUGUGUCAGCAACCUUCGUCGCAACGGAAUAUCAUUUCGCGUAUCUUGCUUCAACGAAUGUAUGAAUCUAUCCUCGGAUUUCUCUAUCUUUAAUAUAUAUAUAUGUAUGUAUGUAUGUAUGUAUGUAUGUAUGUAUGUAUAUGUUCUAUACUUUCUUUUAUAUGUCGUGUGUACAUGUGGGCGGAGAAAGGGAUGCGUAGGCAGAUAGACGUAUUUUCUUCUUUUAGAAAAAGAAUUUUAAUAUUUAUAUAUACAAUUAUAUUUUUUCAUUGAAAAAUACGAAAAGAAAAGUGAUAUUUUUGAAGGAAUUCAGACAUAUAGAUAGACAAAUUCGAAUUAUUCGUAUUCGAGACGCGUAGAAUAUCGAACGUCUAUUCCGCAUAUACUCUGAAAUAUUAAUUAUACAAUAGAGGAGAUAUUACGUGAUCCUUAUUAUCGGAAAUAUAUUGCAUCGAUUCCGUGCCUAUAAUUUCUGGAUUCUCAGGCGUAACGUUACAAUGAAGAAAAGGAUAAUCAAGCUAAAAAAUUAAUAUUUAUAUAUAUUAAUAUAUAUAUAUAUGUAUAUAUAUAUACGUACUUGCAUAUAUUUUUUCCUUUCGUUAAUUAAAAAGUAAGGAAUCUCCGAUUACGCUGGAUCUUGGGCGCCAAACGAGAUUUUUGAAAGCGCACGCACGCACGUAAACCGGGAAGCUAAAGAAAAAAAAAAGGAAAGAAAGAAAGAAAGAAAGAAAGAAAGAAAAAAAAAAUAAUCACGCGCAUAUAAAUCUCGAACGUAGGAUCGAUUAACAUGUUCCCUCCGUCCAUCGUAUCGUUUCGUUCAAGCACAAUUGUUCGAGGAAAAAGAUUCGAAUCUCGGAUAAAGUUUCGCGCUGGCUCCAGAGUCAUUAUCGUUUCGCCGUCGAGGCCAGAAUGGCGAGUUCGAUGGCUAUGGGGGGAUGAGAUGAGAUGGUGAGAGUGGGAGAAAGGGUAAAGGCACUAACGAGCCGCGUGAGACUCCGAGUUUGGUGUUACACGCGUUUAUCCCAAUUAUCGGUGUCUCGAGAUGACGUCACACGAGCAUACAAUAUACAUACACAUACACCCACACUCUCUCUCUCUCUCUCUCUCUCUUCAUCGAUAAACACGUAUACACAUAUAUGUGGUCCGGCAUAUACGAGUGUGUAUAUUUAUGUACAUAACAAAAUACAUAUAACGAAACAAGAACGAGGAAAAAAAAGGAGGGCACGAGUAGUACUCGGUUCGUCUCGCUUGUAACGCUUUCGUUUACAUACGUUUAAUUACACGCUUAUCGGGUUCGACGCUCGUUCCGCGUUCGAUAAAAUUUAUCAAAGCGUUACACGAAGCCGAUCGAAGUUGGGAGUAUGUCGAAGGGCCAUCCAAUAUCUUUACGUUUCGUUUCGUUUCGUUUCGUUUCGUUUCGUUGGUACGUUAAUUAAAGGCGAGAAGGAGAAGGCUCCCUCAACCAACCCACAUCUCUACCCCAAUACUUCCCCUCUCUUCACGUUCACCAAUUUUUUUCGAGAUUUAUCGAGAGCCAAGAAAAAUCUCAAGUAAUCUUGUCUCAACGUAUGUAAUAAAUAACUCUUUGUAACAUAAAUAUAUGGGCGAAUUCGUUUUGACUUUACGUGUCGUUUAAGUGUACUCGAUGAUUAUUAAUUAUGUUCGUCCAAUUAAUCAACUAUUAUUCGAUAUAUACGUCUCUUCGUAAUUUUCUGACGAAACUUUUCAAAUACCAAGUUGCGAGGAACGCAUUAUUUUUUCUAAUAAAUUAAUUUGUAUGUAUGUGUGUAUGUAUAUACAUAUAUGUGUCGAAUACGUUUCACACGAUAGUGAAAUUUUUCGGGUUUGUUAUUAACUACCUAUGUAUACCUAUAUCUAUGAUUUAACAAAUACUUUUAUCUUAAUAUCAAGCUGUACAUUUGGCGAACAUAACGACGGCUCGACGUAUAUUCGUUUCCAUAUACGCAAAAAUAUGUUCGUGCAUACGUACAUACAUACAUACAUACAUACAUACAUGCGACAUACGAUAUAAAUACGAUAUACAUACGUACAUAUGUAUGUACUGCGAGGUGGUAAUGUCAUGCGACUACACAUACACACACACACACAAGCGAACGGUAAAUUUUUCUUCCCAUGACUCGCACGAUCAUUAUUUUCUUCGUAUUUUACUAUAAAAUUCGUAGCUCUCGUUCUUCAUAAACGUUCGAAGUAACGUAACGCGUUUCUUUGUAUUACUACCAAAAUAAAAAUCGCGAGAUCUCUACACUGCAAAGCGUAUCGUCGGCGAUGCAAGGAAAAACAGUGAAAAUAAUGGACGUGAAUAUUUUGUUUCUUUUCUUUUUCUUUUUUUUUUUUCUUUUUUUCUUAUGAAAAAAGUUUGCGCUCGUCCACGCGCACAAGGCAAGUCCAGUUUUCAUCAUGAAAUUUCAGUUUUCUAGCACGAAAUUAGAAUUCGCUGAAUAAUUCGUUCAAAGAGAGAGAAAGAGAGAAAGAGAGAGAGAGAGGUAACAAAGAUAGAUAGAUAGAAAGAUAGAAAAAGAUAGUAGAGAAAUAGAUACUACGUAGAAGAAGGGAAAGAAGAGAAGCAUUUUUAGUUUUUUUUUUUUUUUCUUUUGAGAAGAUUUGCUCGGAUUAAUUGGGCGGUUCGGUGAAACCGUGCACCCUUACGCUCGAGAUCACAUAACUCACGAUCUCUGUUAUCUAACGGGUGUCUAAUGCGAAAAGAAGGAAUGAAGGGUAACGCUAGUGAGUUUCAUAUUUAACUAUUCUUAACCCACGUCGAACGUUAACAAUUUUCUCGUUUGAAAAAAUCAUCCUUUUCGUAUAUUACGCAGAAUAUUCGGACAUUAACGAUAAACAACGAGAACGUUAGAUAAUAAUGCGAAAGACGUGUGAGGUUAAAUAUUUCUUAGUAAUCGAAUAGAAAUUGGAACGUUUAAAUUUCAAUGGAGAUAAGAAAAAUUGAUCUUUUUUAUUCACAACAAAUACCUACCAACUUAUAACUAACUUUCACCGUGCAAAUUUUUUCUAUCAAUUAUCGUAGUAUUGGAACGAAUAAGAUGACAAAAUCAAAAGAAAAAAAAAAGAAAAGAAAGAAGAAAAAGAAAUGAUUUGUUUAAGAUCGAUCAAGAAAAUCGUUAGAUCGUUUGAUAGAGAUCCAUAAGAUCGAUAGAGAAAGAAGAAUCGUGCGAACAGUUCGAUGAGGAUAAAAAGCCUGAUCGCCAACGUCGUCGUGUUCGUAAUGGAUACAUUGGUGAGAGAGAUACUCCUUUCCUCUUAUCCCUCCCACUUCACCUUUCUCUCUCUCUCUCUCUCUCUCUCUCUCUCUCUCUCUCUUUUUUCUCCUCUUUCGAUUCGGCGGCUCUUUCUCACGGCGGAAUCCCUUUGAUCGCGGUCACGUAUCCGACCGUUGAGAAAAGAAACGAAGGACCUGCCUCGACGAUACCUCCUAAUUAACAUAUGCGAAGCGAGACGUGUCACACACAUACACAUAGCAUACUCUUUCUCCUUCUCUCUUUUUCCCUCUCUCUUUUUCCUUCUCUCUCUCUCUCUCUCUCUCUCUCUCUCUCUCUCUCUCUCUCUCUCUCUCUCUCUCUCUAUCUAUCUAUCUAUCUUUCUCUUUCUUUAUCUUUCUCUCUUACAUACCUACGAUUAUGCUCCUCAUAUCCGUUAGUACGUGAUUCAAAUUCCGAGUACUUCUCGAUCCGAUCGCAGCAUCCGAAAGAGAGAGAGAGAGAGAGAGAGAGAGAAAGAGAGAAAAUAGAACAUCGAAUGCAUCUGAAUUUUAGAUUAAAAAUGAGCUCGACUUUGUCUCUUAAGUAUGAUUUUGUUCUCUUAAAGUAUUAUUUAGAAAGGUAUUAUAUUCUGUCGAUAGAGUAUUAUAGAGGAUUAGAACUUUAUAUGUAUAUGUAUAUAUUAAUUCGAUCAAUAAUUUUAUGAUACCCGAUAUCAAUCAUUAUCACGAGAGGACAAUUAUUAUUUGUUUAUUUAUUUAUUUUUUUUUUUCAUAGAUUUCAUAUUAGUCAAAUUAAUUUUGCGACACGUAGCUUAUUUUAAAAGUAAUAAACCUAAAGCAACGUAACGUAUCUCUACGUGAGUAAAACCGGUAAAAGAGGAAUAAAAGAGAGAGAGAGAGAGAGAGAGGGGGUGGUACUUACAAACGAGAGGAUGAAUUCCAACGGUUCCACUAAUAUUAUCCAGCUUCUCGGGUUGGUGGUAUGUAAGUAUAAUAUGUACUUACACGUAUACGUAGAGAACGUGUACGCGACCAGGAAGUAACGUCGACGCUUCACUCCCUUCUUUCAAAUUUUUUUUUUAUUCCUCGUGUUUUCUUUCUCUCUCUCUGUCUCUCUCCCUCUCUCUCUCUCUCUCUCUCUCUGUCUGUCUGUCUCUUUUUUCCUUUGUAUUUUCAUUUUUCGUUUUAUUCUUUGCUUUUCUUUUUUCAUUUCUUUUUUCAUUUCUUUUCUUUUUUUUAUUCGUUUACCUCCUUUUUCUUUUUUACAUUCCUCUUUUUAUAUUAUUUUUUUUUUCGUCCUUCUUUCUUCCUCGUUUCUUUUUUUGUUCCUCCAGUUCGUCAGGACCUCGCGCGUUGCACCAUGCUUCUACUCGACGCAGCCAUUUUUUUCGUCCCAACAAAAAUGCACUCCGAGAACAUGACAGUGGUACACUUGAGCGAGCAAAUGAGGGUUAUCUAGGGAUAGAGGGAAGGAGAGAGAUACUCGGAAUCGUGAUCGGGGUAAAAGAAGGAAGGGUUUGAAGUUUCUCAGAGAAAUAAAUCGAAUUUCUCGCGUAUAAAAAUGUUAUGCUUUGUUCCUUCAUUCGAAAUUCAGAGCUCAGUUUCAACUCAGGAGCGUAGCGAGUACGGUCACCAGGUGUCACUAGAGGAUCGUAUCCUCUCUUCCCCAAAGAGCAGAUUACGCUUGGAGCUAGCAGCCAGAGCAGUAUUACUCUUCCUUCUCCUCCGCCUCCUUUUUCUCCUUCUUCUCCUCUUUCUCCUCCUUCCUCUCUUCUUUCUCCUGCUAAACCUCCUCCAACCUUAUUCCACCUUCCUCCCCAUCGUCGUCGUUGCCGUCUCGUGCAACGUCGUUCUAUAGCAUACCACCGGCAUCGUCAUGGAAACGCAAAGCCUCGAAAAAUCAUUUCGUCGAAAGUCGGCUGCUAAUAAAAAAAAAUAAAAAAAUGAAGAAAGAAAGAAAGAAAGAAAGAAAGAAAAAAAGGGAAAAGAAAACAGAAAAGAGAGAAAGAAAGAAAAAAGAAAGACAUGAGAAGGGUGGCAAAAGUCCGAUUCAGCAAGGGGUGUUUAUUGAAUUCCGUUGCGAUCCAUUAUUUGCGGCCUGCUGAAUCCGAGGCCACGAGCAAUAAAUCGCCCGAAUCUGUGGGCCCAACAAAGGGAGAUGUUCGAAGGGUUUGAAAAUCCACGUCGACGACCUCGAAUCAUCCCUUUCCUUCUCAUCCAGGAAAACGCUCGAGGGAACUGGUUAAGCGGUACUUCGCUUGGAAGGACUCGAUGCUUAAGGGCUCCUCGAGUAGUUCUCUCCUUGAUCAAACGAGCCACGGUUUAUUACCGAAUCAUCAUCGGUAACAUCGACGAAAUCUAAAGUCGAAUCGUCGUUUUGCAUUCAUCGAAAAAAAAAAAAAAACGGAAGGAGAGAAAAAAUCGAUUGUAAAAUUCUUUCGUUGUUGUUGUCGCUGUUGUUAUUAUUGUUGUUUAGUUUUUUUUUUUUUUUUUUUUUUAAUCUCAAUCAAUGGAUAAUAUUUUUCCAAUCGCUUAUACUUGUAAUACGAAGGAAAGUUUAUUUUUAAUAUCUCGACGAUAUUAUGUAAUGUUAUAUAUACGUAUGUAUAACAUGUAUAACAUGGAUUAUUUGCAAUAAAUCAAGAUAUUUGAUCUAUACUCUCAAGUUCGUAAAAAAGUUCUUAUUACAAAUAUUUUGCGAAUUGCAAUCACCGUGAAAAAAUUGUUUUCAUACUUUUGAAUGAUUAAUACGAUAAAGAACAAAUCGAUGAAACGUAUUUGUUAUUUGUAAAUGAACUGAAUAUACAUAUACACACACGCACACAUAUAUACAUAUAUAUCGUCUGUCAUAUACUUUGUACGUAUUAUUCAAUCAAUUUAACAAGAUCAAACAAUCAUUUUUCGCGAUAAUGGAUUAUGAAAUUCUCAAGUGAUUACGCACCUAUAAAAUCCAAGAAUGGCAUACGAUCCGGUAUCGUGUAAAAGAGGCUUAUAACGAUGCACAUACACGGCCAUUAAUUCAUUCCAUUCAGAAAUAAUUGCUCGCAUCGCGAUGAGAUAAAAGGGAUACCGUGGGUCUGGACCAGUUGGCACCCACCCUUCGGAGCUUACAGUUUGGAACCCUUGAUACACAACGAAUCAGGGCAAAGCGUGGUCGUUAGCAUGCCGGUCUAUCGUUUAUCCUUUCUUAGUGGCUAACCCCUGGAAACUCGACAGCAAUACGAUAUGCCAUACGAAUCCCUAGGAAGUGGUGGCCAGCUUGAAUCGAGGAAAUUCUGUCUCACGCUACUCUUCUCUUAUCUUAGUGGAUAAACAGAUAAGAAACUGGAAUGAAUCGAUUUCACGAACGAAUGAACGAACGAAUGGACGGACGGACGAACGAACGGACAAACGAACGAACGAACGAACGAACGAACACAAUCGAUCGAAUUUCACGAGGAGUGAAUGAAGAUAGGAUAAAUCGGAUUAAUUAAUUGGAUUGUACGAAAGAGUAAGAUUUAAAUAUAUAUUUAUAUAUAUAUGCUUUUUCGUUAAAUCAAUAAAAUCAUGAUCGUGGAAUAAUUCUCGUGGCAUGAGAAAAGGUUAAGGAAUAUACGUACGGAUUUGGAUUUACUCCAGGGAAAACAGAAAGAACCAGACAAAGAGAGAGAGAGAGAGAGAGAAAGAGAGAGAGAGAGUUUCGACGACACAAUUAUAAAAGUUCGUCCGUCGAUGGAGAUGCGCGUGCCACCGAGAGCAACGAGGAAUCGGACGUUCCGAUAGCAAGAUAGAGAUAGAUAGAUAGAUAGAUAAAGAGAGAAAAAGAAAGAAGAAGAGAGAGAAAGUGAGAAAGAGAGAGAGAGAGAUAGAAGGAGGGUAGAAACGGCAGGGUGGUAGUUGCCCCGUUGAAUCAAGAUGAGGGAGAGCUUGGAUGGGGUGAGACCGGGAAGGUGGUCGGAAGCGGACAGAGCCAUGGGUUGGGUUCCACGGGAGUGGAUGGAUGGGCGAGUUGUGAGUUAUCAGGGUCGGGCAGGCUCGUGGCUCUACUUGUCCUCUCUCUCGCUCUCUCUCUCUCUCUCUCUCUCUCUCUCGCUCGCUCUCUGUCUCGCUCGCUCUCUCGCCAGUCUCCACUAGAAAGAGAGAGAGAGAGAGAGAAAACUAGUGGGAUGGACUGGGGUAGUUCUGGCCAGGUCCUAUCCACCAGGAGCCUCAGUGGGUUGGGGUGAUCGAUAUGCCGUGUGGCAGUACGCCUCUGCCGUAUAGCGUGGCACGUCGACGUGCGCACCCUCCUAAUUAACCCUUUUCAACGCGAUGCGUGCCACUCUUCUAUCUACCCCUCCGCAACUCGACUCUCUCUCUCUCUCUCUCUCUCUCUUAUCUAUCUCGCCUUCUGUCACUCUUUCUUUCUCUUUUUUUUUUCUCUACUUCUCUUUAUAUUUCUUCUUUUAUUUCUUUAGUUUACUUUUGCUUUUAAUUUUACCUUUGUUAUAAUUAUUCCAACCGUAUAAUUUUUUACCUUACAAUUUUGCCCUUCGUUACCCCUGUUAUCACGUAUCGAACUGUUCGAAAUUUCCCGCCGAAAGUCAUCGCUCGACUUCCCUACCUUCAUUCUCUACACUAACUCCUUCUCUCUCUCUCUCUCUCUCUCUCUCUCUCUCUCUCUCUCUCUCUCUUUCUUUCUCUUUCUCUUUCUUUCUAUGUCGAAUGGACGUACGCGUCACCUCCACGAUACCAAACCCCCCUCCCCACGUUGCCAUCGUUUCAUAGUGAAAUAUGACGCUUUUUAAAUCGUGAUUUAAGCGCGUUAACUGACCUAAAGAUGUCACAUUCAUCAUUCCUUUAUAAAAAAUAUGAUAACAUUCUUCUCCUUCUUAUUUUUUAACUUUUCUUUUUUGUCUUCUAGUUUUUUUUCUUUAAAUCUUUUUCUAUUUCUAUUUUUUCUUUUUUCCUUUUUCUUCUUUUCGAUUCAUUGAGAUAACCGAUUUUUUACACUCUCUCAUUUAUAUAUAUCUGAUAAAUAUUAAUAAUCAUUUUCUCGACAGAUACGAAGAUUUUUACUCGAAACGAAAAAAGAAGUCGAAUAUUUUCUUUGAAACGAUAAAAACAAAUCCGUGAAGAACAAAGAUAUGUACGAGUAUAUUUACAAAUGAAUGAUCGAAAGAAGACAAAAAUUUCUCUCACGAUGGUAGAGUCUUCGAAGCUUGUUAGUGAUUCGAACGUCAUUCUUGUUUACUAUCUACCUCUCUCUCUCUCUCUCUCUCUCUCUCUUUCUCUCUUUCUAUCUCUUCCUCUUUCGAAGAGAUCAUAUCGAUAUUUCUAUGCUGUAGUCUAUCUCGUGCAGUGUGCACGGCAUGUCGAGAAGGGCAGUGUGUUGGAGAAUACGGAUGGAAGAGUGAAGAGGAUGGGAAACGUGAAUCGGGGCGAGUAGAGAAGGAGUGAGUGAGUGAGAGAUAGAGAGAGAGGGGGAGAGAGAGAGAGAGAGAAAGGGUAGGUGGGGUCGAAGCGAUCAGAACUACCGGCAGGCGUCACGCGCCAUUCAAUCCCUUGGCGUCGAUGCCUCCUGCUUGCACCCUCGUUCUAAUUCGAACCUUCGUACGUAUAUAUAUGUGUGUGUAUAUAUAUGUGUGUGUAUAUGUAUAUGUAUAUAUAUAUAUGUAUGUAUAUGUAUAUGGACAUAUAUGUAUGUACGUGUAUAAAUUUUCACGAUAGAAAAUUCUCACGAAAGACGACAAUUUUUGAAAAUUUCGAAUUAAUAAUCGGUACGAUCGACGAAAGAUACUUCUUUAAAUCGUUGUGCACAAUAAAAACGACCUGAUAUAAUAACGUAUCUUCGUAGGUUUGUUUUAAUAAAAUUAUAAAUAAAUUUAUUUGGAUUCUUACAUCGUAAACCUAUUACAUGGGAUACGCUUGUUUUCUUUUUUUUUUUUUUUUUUUUUUUUUUUAAGAGGAUAGAGAGACACACAGACACCAGUAGAAAUGAAUUUCGAUGGACAUUGGCUUUAUGUUGUGGCCAAUUUAUUAUUACAAAUUUAUCGAUAACCCACGUGCGUAUAUACGUCACACGGGAAUUCGUUUGGAAUGAUUAAUCGACACGGUAAAAUAAUUAACGCUUAAUACAAUGCAUUAUAUACGAUUUGCGAUAAUCAUUGCAAACGGAGAAUCACGGGAUACUAUUAUUCUCUUUAUUUCAUCUUAUUAUAUGUAUUCUUUUAAUAUUAUCUAUGUUAUUCAUUAUUAUUAUUAUUAUUAUUAUUAUUAUUAUUAUUAUAUAAAAAAAAAAGAAAACACGUUCGCAUGCACAAGUAAAACAUACGUUUCCGAUUAACCCCUAUCCUCGCUAUCAAACAAAAAGAAAAGAAAAAAAUAGUCUUAUUUGUUCCAUCGAAUUUUUAUCACGGAUCUAUCCGUAUUUUAAGGGAAUGCUGAAGAGAAAAAAAAAGAAAAGAAAGAAAAAGAAAAGAAAAAGAGUGGGAACAAAAAAUUGAAAUUUCAGCGCUCGUUUUAAAGGAGCAACGAACGAACAGGUAAAAUAAAAGAGAGAAAAAGUGAUAGAGAUGGAAAGAGAGGGGAAAGAGAAAGAGACAGAGAGAGAGAGAGAGAAAGAGAGAGAGAAAGAGAGAGAGAGAAAGAGAGAAAGAAAGACAGAGAAAGAGAGAGGAAGAGAGAGGAGUAGCGUAUGGUAAUGGCGCGUAAUACGAUCUGAUUGCAUUUAUGAUGAAUGGGGGAUCCGCUUGGGAGGGUUUGGGGCGCGUGUCGAGUCGGGCAGUUGGAAAUUCUGCUUGCGGUUUAAUGACAGCGCCAUGGUUGGUCCGUACGUUCGUUCGUACGAGCCAUACACAACCCCUCUUACUCAUCCCUCUUAUCCCUCAUGCUCUUUCUCACUCUCUACCUUUCUCUCUUUCUCUUUCUAUCUCUCUCCCUCUCUCUCUCUCUCUCUCUCUCUCUCUCUCUCUCUCUUUCUCUAUCUAUCUAUCUAUCUGUCUUUUUCUCACUGUCUCAUUCCCUAAUUGUAUCUUCGUUCAGAAAGAGAGAGAAAGAGAAAGAAAAAGAAAACUGAGAUACGAUGGAAAUCGUAAGUUCACGGUCUCGCGCACGCGCCCUUUUUUUUUUUUCUUUUUUUUUCUCUUUCAUUUUUUCUUUUUUUUUUGAAUUAUUUUUAUUAAGGACGAAGAAGGAACAUCGAAUAAUUACAGACCUCGUAUUCGUUAAAGUCGAGUUUUCGCGAGUAGAUAUCCUUUAAAAGGAAAAAAAAAAGAAAGGAAAGAGAAAAGAAAGAGAGAAAGAGAGAAAAAAGAAAACGCUUAUCACGGUGAUCCUUGUGAAAGAGAAGGGGGGAAAAAGAUGGAAGGAAGGAAAGAAAAAAAAGAAAGAAUGAAUGAGAGUACACGUUUUCAGGUAGAUCGUGUAUAUCCUUUCAUUCAUUUUUGGCGAGACUGACUACGUCACGAUACUUUUGAAAAUAUUUUUAAACAAUGAGAAGAAGUCGGAGGGACUCGAUGAUAACGCUUUAAAUCCCAUCGUUUAAUAUAAACCAUCGUUCGUUUCGUGAACGAAAGAGAAAGAGAAGGAGGAUAAAAGAAAAAAAUAUUAAUGACUUCAAUCAUUAUCACAAAACGUAUUACAAAGUCAACGAAGUAAUACGAGGAAGAUUUGUAAAAUAUUUCUUAAUAUUUUUACUUUUUAAUCUCGUCGCUUAUACUUCAUUAUUAUUUGAUUAAUUUUUUUGUCGAGUGGAAAAAGGAAACAUUAUAUAAUAUAACGUUAAGAACUUACGAAAGAUUUAAACAUUAAUCUGGGAUUUAAUCGAACGGUUAAUUGUAAUAUCGCGAUGUAUGACGUAAAGAGAUUACAUAAUUCCAUAACGUUCGUCAAACUUAUAGAUACAUAUUUCUAUUUAUUUCUUUUUUUCUUCUUCCUCUUUCUCUCUCCUUUUCUUUUUUCGAAGACACGACACGGAGAAAGAAAAAAUUCCUCGAUUUAAGCAGGUCGAUUCUUUCACACGCGACUUCCAGCGAGACGAGACGAGGGGUUUUCUCUCUCUCUCUCUCUCUCUCUCUCUCUCUCUCUCUCUCUCUCUCUUUUUCUUUCUCUCUCUUUCUCUCUCCCUCUUUCUCGUCGUUCUUCCAUCCCUUCGGGAUUCGUUUUCGAGCUCAACGAUGCGCGCUCUCGAUAACGAUUUUACGAGGCACGCCCUUUCGUCGAGAGGACGACGACGACGACGACGACGACAACGACGACGACGACGACGACGACGACGACGACAACGACGACGACGAUGACGACGAAGUAGAGGAAGGAUAUCGAGAGCUUCGUCGUUUUACCUCUCCUAUCGUGGAAUCGAAUCUGGUUCGUAUCGUUCAACGUGUAGUAUCGACGACGUUGAGCUCGCGUUACUCCAACGUAUUUACGAGAACCGUGACGAAUCGUCGAUCGAACGAAAACCAACCUACAUAUACAACAUACUUUUAUUUCUCGAUCGGCGAAAAAAAAAGAGAAAAAAGGAAAAAAAAAAGAAAGAGUUUCCUUUACGAGAAAGCUUUUACGAUAGAUUUCUCGAGAUAAGAUGAUAAUGAGUAUUCAAAAUAGAUUAUUUCCUAUUGAUCUAAUAAUUAGAAAGAAAUUAGAUAAGCAUUAGAAAUAAUUUAGUGUUUAUAUAAUUGGUCUAUGAUUUAUCAUUGAUCGAUUCUAUUCGUUUUUCUCGUUAUCCUUUUUUUUUAUCGUUACUUGUAAUAAUCGUUACUUAAAAAAAUUAUAAUUCGUUCCAUAUUCCGACUUGUUAUUUGUCUCUUUUCUUUGAUCUUUUUUCUAUUCUUUUUUUUUUCUUUAUCUUCUUUCUUUUAGAAAAAAAUUUAUUAUCUGUGUUUGUUGUGCCUAUGGAAACCGAUGCAUUUGGAACGUUUAUUUAUAAAAAAGUGGAAACUGAUCAGAACUCAUCGUCAUCAUCGUCAUCAUUCAAUUCACUGACUAACGAACUGUGUACUAAAUAAGGUGUGAUUAGAAUAAUAUUUCAAAUGUUAUAAGAAAAAUCUAUUUAACAUUAAUGUAUGAACUUGAAUUAUUGUAAAGAAUAAAUUGUACUUAUCAAUGAUCU
This is a long non-coding RNA of Vespula vulgaris, 26572 nucleotides long. RefSeq lists it as uncharacterized. The record is from RefSeq and is a predicted model, not a curated record. Lineage: Eukaryota; Metazoa; Arthropoda; Insecta; Hymenoptera; Vespidae. The transcript is spliced from 11 exons.